This 405-nucleotide long non-coding RNA is filed under the name Gallus gallus (chicken). RNAcentral's name for it is "lncRNA (ENSGALG00010003232.1)". The record is from RNAcentral. Lineage: Eukaryota; Metazoa; Chordata; Aves; Galliformes; Phasianidae.
AGCACUGUGGCUCUGCUGUUCCCUCUUAUGCCCUGUGUUGAUCUUGCUUGACUCCAAAGAAUUUAGGAAUAGCACCAGCAACUGGAGCCCUGCUCUGUCUCAAAUAUUUUUCCCCUGGAAGAAAGGAAUUAGUCUUUUCAAUACAGUCUAAACUACAGUCAUGUGGAGUUUUUCUUAUAAAACUUUUCAGUGAAAAAGAAAAAGAUUGAAGACAUCAUUAAGAAAAUUUUGGAGCCCACCUACCCUACUGUAGAGCCUUUGUGCUACAGCUCAGACUCAGACGUGAAAACAUAAAUGCCAUAAUGCAAAAGCACCGAAGUCUUCUACUGGAUCUGGCCCAAGGAUCUCUCAAUUCUUUCCACGUGUUUCCAUGUGCAAGACUUCUGCUGGUCUAAGCCACUUUCC